Molecule: ribosomal RNA, 300 nt
Filed under: uncultured Chlamydia sp.
Lineage: Bacteria; Pseudomonadati; Chlamydiota; Chlamydiia; Chlamydiales; Chlamydiaceae
Description: bacterial SSU rRNA
Rfam family: Bacterial small subunit ribosomal RNA
Source: RNAcentral
GCUAAGUCGGUGGCAGCGACGGCGGGAUAGCGUAGAGGGCGGUCGUGGUACGUGAUCAUUGGGGUUGAGGUGGGUGUAGGCGGCCCGGGAAGUCCGCUGGGAAGGUCCAGGGCUAAACGCUGGGAUGCGUGUGGAUACUGUCGGGCUGGAGUCCGGAAGAGGCGAGUGGAAUUCCUGGUUUAGCGGUGAAAUGCGCAGAUAUCAGGAGGAACACCAAUGGCGAAGGCAGCUCGCUGGGACGUGACUGACGCUGAGACGCGAAAGCGUGGGGAGCAAACAGGAUUAGAUACCCGAGUAGUC